This 433-nucleotide ribosomal RNA is filed under the name uncultured bacterium. RNAcentral describes it as "partial 16S ribosomal RNA". It matches the Rfam family "Bacterial small subunit ribosomal RNA", at positions 29 to 507 of the family's 1533-position model. The record is from RNAcentral.
AACGAACGCUGGCGGCAUGCCUAACACAUGUAAGUCGAACGAGACCUUCGGGUCUAGUGGCGCACGGGUGCGUAACGCGUGGGAACCUGCCCUUAGGUUCGGAAUAACUCCCCGAAAGGGGUGCUAAUACCGGCUAAUGUCUUCGGACCAAAGAUUUAUCGCCCUUGGAUGGGCCCGCGUUGGAUUAGCUAGUUGGUAGGGUAAAAGCCUACCAAGGCGACAAUCCAUAGCUGGUCUGAGAGGAUGAUCAGCCACACUGGGACUGAGACACGGCCCAGACUCCUACGGGAGGCAGCAGUGGGGAAUAUUGGACAAUGGGCGAAAGCCUGAUCCAGCAAUGCCGCGUGAGUGAUGAAGGCCUUAGGGUUGUAAAGCUCUUUUACCCGGGAUGAUAAUGACAGUACCGGGAGAAUAAGCUCCGGCUAACUCCGUG